RNAcentral lists this transfer RNA (64 nucleotides) under Tylorrhynchus heterochetus (Japanese palolo). RNAcentral describes it as "tRNA-Ala". Lineage: Eukaryota; Metazoa; Annelida; Polychaeta; Phyllodocida; Nereididae. The record is from RNAcentral.
GGCUAUAUAGCCUAAAUCAAGGCAUUUGAAUUGCACCCAAGUCAUGUACCAUGUACUAUAGCCA